UGGGUAACCUGCCUCAAAGAGGGGAAUAGCCUCCCGAAAGGGAGAUUAAUACCGCAUAAUAUGUUUAGGUCGCAUGACUUUAACAUCAAAGGAUUUUCUUUUAGAAAUUCCACUUUGAGAUGGACCCGCGGCGCAUUAGCUAGUUGGUGAGGUAACGGCACACCAAGGCAACGAUGCGUAGCCGACCUGAGAGGGUGAUCGGCCACAUUGGAACUGAGACACGGUCCAGACUCCGUAGGGAG
Molecule: ribosomal RNA, 242 nt
Filed under: uncultured bacterium
Lineage: Bacteria
Description: partial 16S ribosomal RNA
Rfam family: Bacterial small subunit ribosomal RNA
Source: RNAcentral